Molecule: ribosomal RNA, 443 nt
Filed under: uncultured bacterium
Lineage: Bacteria
Description: partial 16S ribosomal RNA
Rfam family: Bacterial small subunit ribosomal RNA
Source: RNAcentral
CCUACGGGUGGCAGCAGUGGGGAAUAUUGGACAAUGGGGGGGACCCUGAACCAGCGAAGCCGCGUGAGUGAAGAAGUAUUUCCGUAUGUAAAACUCUAUCAGCAGGGAAGAAAGAAAUGACGGUACCUGACUAAGAAGCCCCGGCUAAAUACGUGCCAGCACCAGCUGUAAUACGUAGGGGGCAGGCGUUAUCCGGAUUUACUGGGGGUAAAGGUAGCGUAGACGGGGAUGCAAGUCUGAAGUGAAAGGCGGGGGCCCAACCCCCGGACUGCUGUGGAAACUGUAUGGCUGGAGUGCAGGAGAGGUAAGUGGAAUUCCUAGUGUAGCGGUGAAAUGCGUAGAUAUUAGGAGGAACACCAGUGGCGAAGGCGGCUUACUGGACUGUAACGGACGCUGAGGCUCGAAAGCGUGGGGAGCAAACAGGAUUAGAUACCCUGGUAGUC